RNAcentral lists this ribosomal RNA (253 nucleotides) under uncultured bacterium. RNAcentral describes it as "partial 16S ribosomal RNA". It matches the Rfam family "Bacterial small subunit ribosomal RNA", at positions 524 to 776 of the family's 1533-position model. The record is from RNAcentral.
UACGGAGGGGGCUAGCGUUGUUCGGAAUUACUGGGCGUAAAGCGCACGUAGGCGGCUUUUCAAGUCAGAGGUGAAAGCCCGGGGCUCAACUCCGGAAUUGCCUUUGAAACUGGAUGGCUAGAACGCGGGAGAGGUGGGUGGAAUUCCGAGUGUAGAGGUGAAAUUCGUAGAUAUUCGGAGGAACACCAGUGGCGAAGGCGACUCACUGGACCGUUGUUGACGCUGAGGUGCGAAAGCGUGGGGAGCAAACGGG